RNAcentral lists this ribosomal RNA (254 nucleotides) under uncultured bacterium. RNAcentral's name for it is "partial 16S ribosomal RNA". It matches the Rfam family "Bacterial small subunit ribosomal RNA", at positions 524 to 776 of the family's 1533-position model. The record is from RNAcentral.
UACAGAGGGUGCGAGCGUUGUCCGGAAUCACUGGGCGUAAAGGGCGCGUAGGUGGUGGCUUAAGCGUGCGGUGAAAGCUCGGGGCUCAACUCCGAGUCGGCCGUGCGAACUGGGCUCACUGGAGCAUAGUAGAGGCAGGUGGAAUUCCGGGUGUAGCGGUGGAAUGCGUAGAGAUCCGGAAGAACACCGGUGGCGAAGGCGGCCUGCUGGACCAAUUCUGACGCUGAGGAGCGAAAGCCAGGGGAGCAAACGGG